Molecule: ribosomal RNA, 345 nt
Filed under: Acholeplasma sp.
Lineage: Bacteria; Bacillati; Mycoplasmatota; Mollicutes; Acholeplasmatales; Acholeplasmataceae
Description: bacterial SSU rRNA
Rfam family: Bacterial small subunit ribosomal RNA
Source: RNAcentral
UUUUUUGGAGAGUUUGAUCCUGGCUCAGGAUGAACGCUGGCGGCGUGCCUAAUACAUGCAAGUCGAACGGAAGCACUUCGGUGCUUUAGUGGCGAACGGGUGAGUAACACGUAGGUAACCUGCCCAUAAGACGCGGAUAACAGUUGGAAACGACUGCUAAUACACGAUAGGUAACUUGAGCGCAUGAUUAAGUUAUUAAAGGUCCGAAUGGACUACUUAUGGAGGGGCCUGCGGCGCAUUAGUUAGUUGGUGGGGUAAGAGCUUACCAAGACGAUGAUGCGUAGCCGGACUGAGAGGUUGAACGGCCACAUUGGGACUGAGACACGGCCCAAACUCCUACGGGAG